Molecule: ribosomal RNA, 515 nt
Filed under: uncultured bacterium
Lineage: Bacteria
Description: partial 16S ribosomal RNA
Rfam family: Bacterial small subunit ribosomal RNA
Source: RNAcentral
GAUGAACGCUGGCGGCGUGCCUAAUACAUGCAAGUCGAGCGAAUGGAUUAAGAGCUUGCUCUUAUGAAGUUAGCGGCGGACGGGUGAGUAACACGUGGGUAACCUGCCCAUAAGACUGGGAUAACUCCGGGAAACCGGGGCUAAUACCGGAUAAUAUUUUGAACUGCAUGGUUCGAAAUUGAAAGGCGGCUUCGGCUGUCACUUAUGGAUGGACCCGCGUCGCAUUAGCUAGUUGGUGAGGUAACGGCUCACCAAGGCAACGAUGCGUAGCCGACCUGAGAGGGUGAUCGGCCACACUGGGACUGAGACACGGCCCAGACUCCUACGGGAGGCGGCAGUAGGGAAUCUUCCGCAAUGGACGAAAGUCUGACGGAGCAACGCCGCGUGAGUGAUGAAGGCUUUCGGGUCGUAAAACUCUGUUGUUAGGGAAGAACAAGUGCUAGUUGAAUAAGCUGGCACCUUGACGGUACCUAACCAGAAAGCCACGGCUAACUACGUGCCAGCAGCCGCGGUAA